RNAcentral lists this ribosomal RNA (162 nucleotides) under uncultured bacterium. Its description in RNAcentral is "partial 16S ribosomal RNA". It matches the Rfam family "Bacterial small subunit ribosomal RNA", at positions 355 to 509 of the family's 1533-position model. The record is from RNAcentral.
UGGGGAAUAUUGCGCAAUGGGCGAAAGCCUGAACGAGCAAUGCCGCGUGAACGAGGAAGGUCUUCGGAUCGUAAAGUUCUGUUGAAGGGGAAAAAGAGCGGAGAGAGGAAAUGCUUUCUGAUUGAUAUUACCCUUCGAGGAAGUCACGGCUAACUACGUGCC